This 440-nucleotide ribosomal RNA is filed under the name uncultured bacterium. Its description in RNAcentral is "partial 16S ribosomal RNA". It matches the Rfam family "Bacterial small subunit ribosomal RNA", at positions 338 to 795 of the family's 1533-position model. The record is from RNAcentral.
CCUACGGGAGGCAGCCGUAGGGAAUAUUGCUCAAUGGGGGAAACCCUGAAGCAGCAACGCCGCGUGGAGGAUGAAGGUUUUCGGAUCGUAAACUCCUUUUGUUAGAGAAGAUAAUGACGGUAUCUAACGAAUAAGCAACGGCUAACUCCGUGCCAGCAGCCGCGGUAAUACGGAGGGUGCAAGCGUUACUCGGAAUCACUGGGCGUAAAGAGCGCGUAGGCGGGAUAGCAAGUCAGAUGUGAAAUCCUAUGGCUUAACCAUAGAACUGCAUUUGAAACUGUUAUUCUAGAGUAUGGGAGAGGUAGGUGGAAUUCUUGGUGUAGGGGUAAAAUCCGUAGAGAUCAAGAGGAAUACUCAUUGCGAAGGCGACCUGCUAGAACAUAACUGACGCUGAUGCGCGAAAGCGUGGGGAGCAAACAGGAUUAGAUACCCGAGUAGUC